RNAcentral lists this ribosomal RNA (435 nucleotides) under uncultured Myrothecium. RNAcentral describes it as "SSU rRNA". It matches the Rfam family "Eukaryotic small subunit ribosomal RNA", at positions 624 to 1064 of the family's 1831-position model. The record is from RNAcentral. Lineage: Eukaryota; Fungi; Ascomycota; Sordariomycetes; Hypocreales.
AAGCUCGUAGUUGAACCUUGGGCCUGGCUGGCCGGUCCGCCUCACCGCGUGUACUGGUCCGGCCGGGCCUUUCCCUCUGUGGAACCCCAUGCCCUUCACUGGGUGUGGCGGGGAAACAGGACUUUUACUUUGAAAAAAUUAGAGUGCUCCAGGCAGGCCUAUGCUCGAAUACAUUAGCAUGGAAUAAUNNNAUAGGACGUGUGGUUCUAUUUUGUUGGUUUCUAGGACCGCCGUAAUGAUUAAUAGGGACAGUCGGGGGCAUCAGUAUUCAAUUGUCAGAGGUGAAAUUCUUGGAUUUAUUGAAGACUAACUACUGCGAAAGCAUUUGCCAAGGAUGUUUUCAUUAAUCAGGAACGAAAGUUAGGGGAUCGAAGACGAUCAGAUACCGUCGUAGUCUUAACCAUAAACUAUGCCGACUAGGGAUCGGACGAUGUU